RNAcentral lists this ribosomal RNA (466 nucleotides) under uncultured bacterium. RNAcentral's name for it is "partial 16S ribosomal RNA". It matches the Rfam family "Bacterial small subunit ribosomal RNA", at positions 28 to 507 of the family's 1533-position model. The record is from RNAcentral.
GAUGAACGCUGGCGGCGUGCUUAACACAUGCAAGUCGAACGGAAAGGCUCCUGCUUGCAGGGGUACUCGAGUGGCGAACGGGUGAGUAACACGUGGGUGAUCUGCCCUGCACUUCGGGUUAAGCCUGGGAAACUGGGUCUAAUACCGGAUAGGACCAUCGUUUAGUGUCGGUGGUGGAAAGUUUUUUCGGUGUGGGAUGAGCUCGCGGCCUAUCAGCUUGUUGGUGGGGUAAUGGCCUACCAAGGCGUCGACGGGUAGCCGGCCUGAGAGGGUGUACGGCCACAUUGGGACUGAGAUACGGCCCAGACUCCUACGGGAGGCAGCAGUGGGGAAUAUUGCACAAUGGGCGCAAGCCUGAUGCAGCGACGCCGCGUGGGGGAUGACGGCCUUCGGGUUGUAAACUCCUUUCGCCAGGGACGAAGCGAAAGUGACGGUACCUGGAUAAGAAGCACCGGCUAACUACGUG